RNAcentral lists this long non-coding RNA (1578 nucleotides) under Prunus persica (peach). Its description in RNAcentral is "long non-coding RNA (PPER_LNC008291)". Lineage: Eukaryota; Viridiplantae; Streptophyta; Magnoliopsida; Rosales; Rosaceae. The record is from RNAcentral.
AGAGAAAGAGAGAGAGAGAGAGAGAGAGAGAGAGAGAGAGAGAGAGAGAGAGAGAGAGAGAGAGAGAGAGAGAUGAUGAUGAACUUACCUGGCAGCGAGAGAUGAGGAUGAACUUACCUGGCAGCGUUGAUGGGUCACACAGAGGGAGUUCGGAGUUCGGAGUUCGGAGUUCGAAGACGACAGUUCAUGAAUGUUGCAUCAUGGGUCUGCUAUUGUGGAAGGGUUGCAAAAAUUCAGACUUCUUGGACCUCUUCACAUCCAGGAUGAAGAUUUUAUGUUUGUGCGCUGGUGAGUUAAAUUUUGAAGUUUGGGUUUCAAAUUUGCAGUUUUGAGUUUCCAAGUUUUAAAAAUUUGUCUUUGCAGAAUCGUUGUCAAAUGUGAGAGUGGGGUGACCCUGUUAUGUGCAAUAGGUCUAAGCAAAUAAUUCCAGGACUGUUGAGGAGAAUUAACAAGUUGGAAUCAGAAAAAAAAAAAAAAGGGAAUUCGAAGCUGAAAACCCCAUGGUUUUGGGUGUUGUUGUGCAUGUUUUGGAUUAUUAUGUGGUUGAUUUUGAAUGAAGAUAAAGGCACCAAUGGGCAGCUGUAGAAAGAGAUGGGUAGUUGACAUUUUGUAAGAGUUAUAAAGGGAUGGGUACUUGCCAUUUUGUAAGGGUUAGAAAGAGCCAAAAGACCCGUUCAAAGGGGUGGAUUGGAAAUUCAUAUGCAAAUUCAUGUGCCUCAUCAUCACCAUCAUCAUCUAAACCAACGUCCACUACAAACUAGUUCCCCAACUCACCAACAUCAGUUUCAGUUUGAACUUCUACUUCAAUGAACUGUGGAGUAUAUGUAGAUGCCUGAUUCUCUGGGAAAUGUGGUUGAGGCUUAUAUGAAAGAUAUAAAGGUUGAACUCUAGAGGUAGGUGUGUGCUCCAUAAACUCAACUUCAUGGACAUCUACUUCAAUUGGAACAAACCUUUUUCUUUUGUUCUAGUAGUGCUACUGUAUUUUUUGAUGGUCUUAUCCUAAAUACUUCCUUUGUAACUUUACCCGAACAUACUUCUCCUUUGAAAUAUAACCUCCAUGGUGAAUUUCUAGGGAGAAAAAAUAUGGAUCACCUAAAAAAAAAAAAAAGAUAUAAAAACCACUAUUUUAUCACACCAACUUAUCUUUACUGCCCAUUUACCGUUCUAAACUUGAAAUUGACUAAGAUCCACCGACAAUUAUGCAGACAAAACAACACAAAUGCUUCGGGACCACAUGUAUUUCAUAUUCAAAAAAGCAUAUCAAACAACACCACAAAAUGUCAAAAGAACUGACAGACCAAAGAACACACAAGCUUAAACAAUUUCAAAUUGGAAAAAGCGAUUACUUACUGUACUUGGGAGGAGGCCCUCUGUUCCGCACCUACAUAGGCAACACAUCCAGACUCAUGUUGCGUCCAAUCAACAAAGCCAAAAGAAGCUUUAUGAAAAAGCUUUCAGAUUCUCUCGAUUUCGUCCCUCUCCAACCUUCGAUUUCGUCCCUUUUGCAGCCCUCAAUUCCAUCCCUUUCCAACCCUACCAAACUGAGCGAGAUGUGAGAAGUGUGUGAAAUGUGAGAAC